This is a long non-coding RNA of Drosophila arizonae, 218 nucleotides long. Lineage: Eukaryota; Metazoa; Arthropoda; Insecta; Diptera; Drosophilidae. The record is from RefSeq and is a predicted model, not a curated record.
AGCAUGGCACUUAUAUAACUGCAGAUGGGAAGAAAUUUCGUACAACCGAGAGUUUCUCAAAAAUUUGAAGUAUAUGAUUCUUUGUAGUCAGCGACCUAUAAGGAUAACGACUUUUAAGUUUUCAACAUUAUCUCUCCAAAGCUUUACUGCGAUCUUAAGUACAUCAAUGAGCUACUUUACAUUGCUGCGGUCAAUUUAUUUCGACAAAUAAAGGACAC